This 466-nucleotide ribosomal RNA is filed under the name uncultured bacterium. Its description in RNAcentral is "partial 16S ribosomal RNA". It matches the Rfam family "Bacterial small subunit ribosomal RNA", at positions 28 to 507 of the family's 1533-position model. The record is from RNAcentral.
GACGAACGCUGGCGGCGUGCUUAACACAUGCAAGUCGAACGGAAAGGCCCUGCUUGCAGGGUACUCGAGUGGCGAACGGGUGAGUAACACGUGGGUGAUCUGCCCUGCACUUCGGGAUAAGCUUGGGGAAAUGGGUCUAAUACCGGAUAGGAAACAUCCUUAGUGUGGGGGUUGGAAAGUUUUUUUGGUGUAGGAUGAGCUCGCGGCCUAUCAGCUUGUUGGUGGGGUAAUGGCCUACCAAGGCGGCGAGGGGUAGCCGGCCUGAGAGGGUGUACGGCCACAUUGGGGCUGAGAUACGGCCCAGACUCCCACGGGGGGCAGCAGUGGGGAAUAUUGCACAAUGGGCGCAAGCCUGAUGCAGCGACGCCGCGUGGGGGAUGAAGGCCUUCGGGGUGUAAACUCCUUUCGCUAGUGACGAAGCGUUGUUGUGACGGUACCUAGAUAAGAAGCACCGGCUAACUACGUG